This is a non-coding RNA of Podarcis lilfordi (Lilford's wall lizard), 74 nucleotides long. NCBI's taxonomy places the organism in Eukaryota, Metazoa, Chordata, Lepidosauria, Squamata, Lacertidae. The record is from the annotation of a GenBank genome assembly.
GUUCAUAAUAGCUCAGUUGAUAAAGCAUGAUAUUCUUCCUUUCAGGGUCAUGGGUUCGAGCCCCAUGUUGGCCU